This is a long non-coding RNA of Manihot esculenta (cassava), 1110 nucleotides long. RefSeq lists it as uncharacterized. The transcript has 2 exons. The record is from RefSeq and is a predicted model, not a curated record. NCBI's taxonomy places the organism in Eukaryota, Viridiplantae, Streptophyta, Magnoliopsida, Malpighiales, Euphorbiaceae.
UGUACUCAUGUGCAUUCGCCCUGUUCGUCAUCUGUUCUUUUCUUGUAAUCCUCUUGCAUAAUACCAAUUUGUAUUUGGCCAAUGCCUUGUUGAUCAAUGAAAUCCUUGUUGAUCAAUUUGUAUUCUCUCUAAGUUUGGUUAGAGAGAGAAAUUCUCUGUUAGGGUUUUUCUUUUUUUUUUUUUUGAGACUUAAGACCCUGUCUCUGUCUAUCUAUGGCUAUCCCUGCUCUUUCCGAGCAGGGGUGGUCUUCUUCCAUCUCACCCGACAGUGAGUUUUGUUCCUCCCCUACCUAGUGAGGUUAUAUAGUUUUAUUUUAUCUUUUAUUUUAUUUUAUUUUAUUUUGACAAAUUAAGCUUAUUUGAGGAGAUUCUUUCAGUAUCUAUCUCGUAUUGGCUGUACUUUGAUGUCUUGUAUGCGCUUCAAGGAAUACUCUGCGGGAAAAAGAAAUCGAAUCUCAUGAGGUAGAUUUUCUCUUUUGCUGGGUUUGUUCGACUGGAAGAGUUUUUCUUUGCUUGAAUGAUGGGGGCUAGACUCGAUCAGGGAGGUUCAUCUCUCUUUUUUUAGCGUCUUGGUUUCCAUCAUCGACCUUCAGAUUCGGCGAUACAUGGUUUUGAUCGUGGUUGAAGCUGAAUGAGCUCCGUGCUACAUCUGGUUUCUCGCUUGUCCAGAUCGGUUCGGAGAGGGCUCACAAUAACGGCGCGAAUGGGUUGCCUCAUAACACCUCUUCACCGCCUUCGCCUACCUUUUGAGCUGAUUGAAGCUUCAUUGACCCCUAGAGAUGUUUGAUUGAAGGCUGAUAAAGAUGAAAACCUUAGAGGCAUUGUGCAAGGUCAGGUGGCCGAAGGUCGAUGGAAAAGCGGCAUUGAUUGCAGUAAUUUUUGGAUCUUCAAGGGGUCAUCCUCAGGAGUUGGAUUUUUAGGCUUUCAGAGCUUUUUGGUCUUUUUUAUUUUUCUUAUUUUUUGGGUCCCAGAUUAUUCCGCAUGCACCGGAUGCUUUUAGUUCUUGGCGAUAUUUUGUGCUAUUGGCUCUCUUGUAUUAUUACAUAAUUUUGUAUGCAGGUAUAUAAAUUAAUUUAUAUAUUUAAUAAUAAAAUUAAAAUAUUAUAUUAA